AAAAUCCCCAAGCAGCAUCCAAAUGCCAUGAAAGUGAUUCAGAAAUAUUUGAAUGAACACAACCUACGACUCUGGGACUUUUUUAGGAAAAUUGACAAGGAUGGAAACAUGAAGAUCCCUGUGUCAGCCUUCCGGAGAGCCAUGAUGCAGCAAUCAAACAUCCAACUGGAUCGGGUCCAAAUUGCGGAACUAGUGCGAAAACUAGACCAGAAUCAGACAGGGAUUGUGGACUACAGUCACUUGAAAGAGCAGAAGUCAGCACAGAAACCUGUGAAAGAGGAAAUGGAGGAGAAGGUGUAAAAAUGAAGUGAGAAGGCAGGUGAGCCAGUGAAAUAUAGUAGGAGAAACACUGGAAGAAAGUUCAGAGCGGCCCUGGGCUUGGGGGGAUCCGAGAGAAUCCAAGUGAUCACAUGUAGAAAUAAAGUUGAUGUUCCCCUGCAAGGCAAGUCUGGUGGUUUUGGUCAAGAGCCGGAGCCAGUUACCAAACCUAUCUCAC
Long non-coding RNA from Gallus gallus (chicken), 496 nucleotides. The record is from Ensembl. Lineage: Eukaryota; Metazoa; Chordata; Aves; Galliformes; Phasianidae.